Molecule: non-coding RNA, 111 nt
Filed under: Metabacillus harenarius
Lineage: Bacteria; Bacillati; Bacillota; Bacilli; Caryophanales; Bacillaceae
Description: Bacillus weihaiensis SAM-I sequence
Rfam family: SAM riboswitch aptamer (S box leader)
About the family: The SAM riboswitch is found upstream of a number of genes which code for proteins involved in methionine or cysteine biosynthesis in Gram-positive bacteria. The SAM riboswitch acts at the level of transcription termination control. The predicted structure consists of a complex stem-loop region followed by a single stem loop terminator region.
Source: Rfam by way of RNAcentral
UUCUUAUCAAGAGCAGGUGGAGGGACUAGCCCUAUGAAGCCCGGCAACCGACUUUCUGAAUUUAGAAAGCACGGUGCUAAUUCUUGCAGCAUAAAAGCUGAUAGAUAAGGA